GCCCUGAUAGCUCAGCGGGAGAGCACCGUCCUGACGCGACGGAGGCGGCGGUUCGAGACCGUCUCGGGGGCACCA
RNAcentral lists this transfer RNA (75 nucleotides) under Micromonosporaceae bacterium. RNAcentral's name for it is "tRNA-Val". It matches the Rfam family "tRNA". Rfam says of the family: Transfer RNA (tRNA) molecules are approximately 80 nucleotides in length. Their secondary structure includes four short double-helical elements and three loops (D, anti-codon, and T loops). The record is from RNAcentral. Lineage: Bacteria; Bacillati; Actinomycetota; Actinomycetes; Micromonosporales; Micromonosporaceae.